UGGGGAAUCUUGCGCAAUGGGCGAAAGCCUGACGCAGCGACGCCGCGUGAGGGAAGAAGGCCUUCGGGUUGUAAACCUCUUUCAGCAGGGACGAAGCUACUCGGGUUAACAGCCCAGAGGGUGACGGUACCUGUAGAAGAAGCCCCGGCUAACUACGUGCCAGCAGCCGCGGUAAUACGUAGGGGGCAAGCGUUGUCCGGAUUUACUGGGCGUAAAGAGCGUGUAGGCGGCCAAGCAGGUCUGUUGUGAAAACUGGAGGCUCAACCUCCAGACGUCGACAGAAACCGCUUGGCUAGAGUCCGGAAGAGGAGAGUGGAAUUCCUGGUGUAGCGGUGAAAUGCGCAGAUAUCAGGAAGAACACCAAUGGCGAAGGCAGCUCUCUGGGACGGUACUGACGCUGAGACGCGAAAGCGUGGGGAGCGAACAGG
This 428-nucleotide ribosomal RNA is filed under the name Bacillota bacterium. RNAcentral describes it as "Firmicutes bacterium partial 16S ribosomal RNA". It matches the Rfam family "Bacterial small subunit ribosomal RNA", at positions 355 to 776 of the family's 1533-position model. The record is from RNAcentral. Lineage: Bacteria; Bacillati; Bacillota.